CAAUCAAACCGGGAGAUAGCUGGUUCUCCCCGAAAGCUAUUUAGGUAGCGCCUCGUGAAUUCAUCUCCGGGGGUAGAGCACUGUUUCGGCUAGGGGGCCAUCCCGGCUUACCAACCCGAUGCAAACUGCGAAUACCGGAGAAUGUUAUCACGGGAGACACACGGCGGGUGCUAACGUCCGUCGUGAAGAGGGAAACAACCCAGACCGCCAGCUAAGGUCCCAAAGUCAUGGUUAAGUGGGAAACGAUGUGGGAAGGCCCAGACAGCCAGGAUGUUGGCUUAGAAGCAGCCAUCAUUUAAAGAAAGCGUAAUAGCUCACUGGUCGAGUCGGCCUGCGCGGAAGAUGUAACGGGGCUAAACCAUGCACCGAAGCUGCGGCAGCGAACGUAUCACCCAAGACAACUUUACGGAGUUGACGAUUGACGGAGCGAAGCGACGUCAAAGCGUUCAUUAAAGUCGAGUUGGCUUAGGGAUACGUUCGUUGGGUAGGGGAGCGUUCUGUAAGCCUGUGAAGGUGUGUCGUGAGGCAUGCUGGAGGUAUCAGA
Molecule: ribosomal RNA, 544 nt
Filed under: Salmonella enterica subsp. enterica serovar Typhimurium
Lineage: Bacteria; Pseudomonadati; Pseudomonadota; Gammaproteobacteria; Enterobacterales; Enterobacteriaceae
Description: partial 23S ribosomal RNA
Rfam family: Bacterial large subunit ribosomal RNA
Source: RNAcentral